RNAcentral lists this transfer RNA (63 nucleotides) under Agrilus planipennis (emerald ash borer). Its description in RNAcentral is "tRNA-His". The record is from RNAcentral. Lineage: Eukaryota; Metazoa; Arthropoda; Insecta; Coleoptera; Buprestidae.
ACUUGAGUAGUUUAAUAAAAAUUUUGAUUUGUGGUGUCAAAGAUGCUGUUCUAGUCUCAAGUA